UGGUCAAGUUAUUAAGGGUGCAGGGCGGAUGCCUUGGCACUAGGAGCCGAUGAAGGACGUGAUAAGCUGCGAUAAGCUUCGGGGAGUUGCACGUAAACUUUGAUCCGAAGAUUUCCGAAUGAGGAAACUCACUUAGAGUAAUGUCUAAGUAUCAUUAAGUGAAUACAUAGCUUAAUGAGGGGAACUCAGGGAACUGAAACAUCUAAGUACCUGAAGGAAGAGAAAGAAAUUCGAUUCCGUAAGUAGCGGCGAGCGAACGCGGAUUAGCCCAAACCAAUAAAGUUUUCUUUAUUGGGGUUGCGGACAUAUCAUAACGAAGAGGUAUCGUAAUUGAAGAGGUUUGGAAAGACCCACCACAGAAGGUAAUAGUCCUGUAUGUUAAACGAGAAGACUUUAGAUAUGAUCCAGAGUACCACGGGACACGUGAAACCCUGUGGGAAGCAGGAGGGACCACCCUCCAAGGCUAAAUACUACCUAGUGACCGAUAGCGUAUAGUACCGUGAGGGAAAGGUGAAAAGAACCCCGGGAGGGGAGUGAAAUAGAACCUGAAACCCUGCACUUACAAGCUGUGGAAGCACAUUUCUUGUGUGACCGCGUACUUUUUGUAGAACGGGCCAACGAGUUACGUUAAGUAGCAAGGUUAAGCACUUAAGGUGCGGAGCCGUAGCGAAAGCGAGUUUUAACUGAGCGUUCAGUUACUUGACGUAGACCCGAAACCGGGCGACCUACCCAUGAGCAGGAUGAAGCGAAAGGAAAAUUUCGUGGAGGUCCGAACCCACGAGCGUUGAAAAGCUCGGGGAUGACUUGUGGGUAGCGGUGAAAUUCCAAUCGAGCCCGGAGAUAGCUGGUUCUCCCCGAAAUAGCUUUAGGGCUAGCCUCAAGGUGAGAGAUACGGAGGUAGAGCACUGAAUGUCCUAGGGGGUAUUGCACCUACCGAAGACUAUCAAACUCCGAAUGCCGUCAUCUUAUACUUGGGAGUCAGACUGUGGGUGAUAAGAUUCAUAGUCGAAAGGGCAACAGCCCAGAUCGUCAGCUAAGGUCCCUAAAUGUAAGUUAAGUGGUAAAGGAUGUGGGAUUGCACAGACAACCAGGAUGUUGGCUUAGAAGCAGCCACUCAUUCAAAGAGUGCGUAAUAGCUCACUGGUCGAGUGAUCCUGCGCCGAAGAUUUCCGGGGCUAAAACUUACUACCGAAGCUACGGCAUCAGUAAUGAUGGGUAGGGG
This 1222-nucleotide ribosomal RNA is filed under the name Clostridioides difficile. Its description in RNAcentral is "bacterial LSU rRNA". It matches the Rfam family "Bacterial large subunit ribosomal RNA", at positions 1 to 1234 of the family's 2925-position model. Lineage: Bacteria; Bacillati; Bacillota; Clostridia; Peptostreptococcales; Peptostreptococcaceae. The record is from RNAcentral.